RNAcentral lists this ribosomal RNA (492 nucleotides) under uncultured bacterium. RNAcentral describes it as "partial 16S ribosomal RNA". It matches the Rfam family "Bacterial small subunit ribosomal RNA", at positions 28 to 507 of the family's 1533-position model. The record is from RNAcentral.
GGGGGACGCGGGGGGGGGGCCUAACACAUGCAGGUCGGACGGCAGCACAGUAAGAGCUUGCUCUUACGGGUGGCGAGUGGCGGACGGGUGAGGAAUACAUCGGAAUCUACUUUUUCGUGGGGGAUAACGUAGGGAAACUUACGCUAAUACCGCAUACGACCUACGGGUGAAAGCAGGGGAUCUUCGGACCUUGCGCGAUUGAAUGAGCCGAUGUCGGAUUAGCUAGUUGGCGGGGUAAAGGCCCACCAAGGCGACGAUCCGUAGCUGGUCUGAGAGGAUGAUCAGCCACACUGGAACUGAGACACGGUCCAGACUCCUACGGGAGGCAGCAGUGGGGAAUAUUGGACAAAGGGCGCAAGCCUGAUCCAGCCAUACCGCGUGGGUGAAGAAGGCCUUCGGGUUGUAAAGCCCUUUUGUUGGGAAAGAAAAGCAGCAGGUUAAUACCCCGCUGUUCUGACGGUACCCAAAGAAUAAGCACCGGCUAACUUCGUG